GGCAUGGAAUCAUGUGGCAUUCAUGAGACUACCUUCAACAGCAUCAUGAAGUGUGAUGUGGAUAUUCGUAAGGAUCUGUACGCC
This 84-nucleotide microRNA precursor is filed under the name Poecilia formosa (Amazon molly). Its description in RNAcentral is "miRNA (ENSPFOG00000021209.1)". Lineage: Eukaryota; Metazoa; Chordata; Actinopteri; Cyprinodontiformes; Poeciliidae. The record is from RNAcentral.